GUGCCAGCAGCCGCGGUAAUACGUAGGCAGCAAGCGUUGUUCGGAGUUACUGGGCGUAAAGGGUGUGUAGGCGGUUCCUUAAGUUUGCUGUGAAAUCUCCCGGCUUAACCGGGAGGGUGCGGUGAAUACUGAGGGACUAGAGUACGGGAGAGGAAAGUGGAAUUCCUGGUGUAGCGGUGAAAUGCGUAGAUAUCAGGAGGAACACCGGUGGUGUAGACGGCUUUCUGGACCGUAACUGACGCUGAGACACGAAAGCGUGGGUAGCAAACAGGAUUAGAAACCCCUGUAGUCC
RNAcentral lists this ribosomal RNA (292 nucleotides) under uncultured bacterium. Its description in RNAcentral is "partial 16S ribosomal RNA". It matches the Rfam family "Bacterial small subunit ribosomal RNA", at positions 505 to 796 of the family's 1533-position model. The record is from RNAcentral.